This 520-nucleotide unclassified non-coding RNA is filed under the name uncultured Glomus. Its description in RNAcentral is "SSU rRNA". It matches the Rfam family "Eukaryotic small subunit ribosomal RNA", at positions 569 to 1090 of the family's 1831-position model. Lineage: Eukaryota; Fungi; Glomeromycota; Glomeromycetes; Glomerales; Glomeraceae. The record is from RNAcentral.
AGCAGCCGCGGUAAUUCCAGCUCCAAUAGCGUAUAUUAAAGUUGUUGCAGUUAAAAAGCUCGUAGUUGAAUUUCGGGAUCAAAGAAUCGGUCAUGCCUUGGUAUGUACUGGUUUUAUUGGUUCUCACCUUCUAAAGAACCAUGAUGUCAUUCAUUUGAUGUUAUGGGGAAUUAGGACUGUUACCUUGAAAAAAUUAGAGUGUUUAAAGCAAGCUUACGCUUGAAUACAUUAGCAUGGAAUAAUGAAAUAGGACAUCAGAUUCUAUUUUGUUGGUUUCUAGGAUCGAUGUAAUGAUUAAUAGGGAUAGUUGGGGGCAUUAGUAUUCAAUUGUCAGAGGUGAAAUUCUUGGAUUUAUUGAAGACUAACUACUGCGAAAGCAUUUGCCAAGGAUGUUUUCAUUAAUCAAGAACGAAAGUUAGGGGAUCGAAGACGAUCAGAUACCGUCGUAGUCUUAACCAUAAACUAUGCCGACUAGGGAUCGGAUGAUGUUAAUUUUUUUAAUGGCUCAUUCGGCACCUUA